AGCCUGUAUAGCUUAAAAUAGAUAAUAUGCCCUACAUUUCCCAUUUAAGUAGAAGAGAAUGUGAAUAAUGCAAUGGAUUUUGAAAGGAUUACAUAAUAGAUGAAAAUCAUGAAAUGACUUUCCAUAAUACACGAAGGCAUU
Long non-coding RNA from Ipomoea nil (Japanese morning glory), 141 nucleotides. RefSeq lists it as uncharacterized. Lineage: Eukaryota; Viridiplantae; Streptophyta; Magnoliopsida; Solanales; Convolvulaceae. The transcript is spliced from 3 exons. The record is from RefSeq and is a predicted model, not a curated record.